GACCACUGGUUAACCCUCACCCUGCCACCGCCUGCCCUGGCCUCACGGCUCCGCUCCCACGGCGUUUCCCUGACGCAGACGUUAAAGGGGUCUUUACUCCGGGUGGGGGAAAGGCGUCCCCUCGCAGGCUUCAGCGUUGCGGUAAAGCAAUACAUGAAAUAAGCUCCGAGAAAGAGCCUGACGUGGUACCUGGUAAACAGAAGGCACCAAAUAGGAUCUUUUUCUCCCUGGAAUUUCCUAAGGACCAAAAGUGUGAUUAGAACAUUGCCUGCUUACCCCGCGAAUGCUGUCCUUUUACCGGGGCGGGAGCUGGAGAAAUCUAAUUGAACGGCAGCCUGAAGAAUCCAGAAUAAAACCAGCCUGGAUCUGGAUUCGUUCCGGGCUCAGGAUUUUAGGGCCUCGGUGGAAACGUCCGAUCACUUCUCAAAAGGCACUUAGGCCACUCAGUCCCAGAGAUUCAGGUUGCUGAGUCAUUUGUUCCCAAGAAGAUCCUCUGACAACAUGAAAAGCAGCAAAACAGAGCAGCAGCCAAGCCUGGACCUGGAGUGGCCAACGGCUGGGUUCUUCUUCCCCGCGGUGGGCAGCCCUGCGAAACGAGCAUCGGCCAGCUCCCCACCACGGCCCCCCGAUGGUGGCGCCAGGCCUGCCCACACCUGGAAACUCUCAUGGGGACGGGGCUUUCCCACGGGCCCUCUGAAGCCCGGCUGGGGUUGUUUUUGGAUACUGACAGGUCCCCGCUGCAGCUAACGACAUAGCUCCCAACGUUUUCCUGCCCCCAGACCCCAAAAUAUUUCCAGAACAGCUUAGAAGCCAACUCGCUAGACCCUGCAUACCCAGAAAGACCCGGGGAGUCUCGGGUCCCCACGCCACUGUGUCCAAACAAUGCAGACCAGCAAAGGUUUAUGACGACCAGCGGCACGUGAAACUAGACGCGAUACACUCAGGUCCUGGGGUAGCUGACUCAUAAGGUAUAUCACAUCAAGAACCUUGCAACUUCCGGGAAGAGGACUUGAGAACGAGAGACCAGGCGGCCACCUUCUCCUGCACCCUGCUUCCCAAGCCGCCUUCUUCGGGCAACUACUCAGGGCCAAGGUUCCACCCCGCAGAAAGAAGACCACUUGGAAGACGACCGUGGCACUCCACGGGUUUAAAAGAAGCCCAGAGCGUCCGUGCCAGGCUCCCAGCAGGGGGAAAAUGCUUCAAAUUCACACCUUCUGGGCUCCAGGGAAGCGCAUGCCAAUAAAGAAGUCACCUACUGGUCUGAUGACCAAAGGAAUGAGGCCUUGAUCGCACUAAAGCCACCGAACAUGAAAUCUAAGCUGCGGCCAGAGGGCUCACGGCUCAGCUUCACGCAAAACCUAGGCUGACGACGGGACCGGCACCUAUUAUUCUGACGAUGCACCGAGGAUGACUGAACCA
Long non-coding RNA from Mirounga angustirostris (Northern elephant seal), 1419 nucleotides. RefSeq lists it as uncharacterized. The transcript is spliced from 4 exons. The record is from RefSeq and is a predicted model, not a curated record. Lineage: Eukaryota; Metazoa; Chordata; Mammalia; Carnivora; Phocidae.